UACGUAGGGUGCAAGCGUUAUCCGGAAUUAUUGGGCGUAAGGAGCUCGUAGGCGGUUUGUCACGUCUGCUGUGAAAACCCGAGGCUCAACCUCGGGCCUGCAGUGGGUACGGGCAGACUAGAGUGCGGUAGGGGAGAUUGGAAUUCCUGGUGUAGCGGUGGAAUGCGCAGAUAUCAGGAGGAACACCGAUGGCGAAGGCAGAUCUCUGGGCCGGCAUUGACGCUGAGGCGCGAAAGCUAGGGGAGCAAACGGG
RNAcentral lists this ribosomal RNA (253 nucleotides) under uncultured bacterium. RNAcentral describes it as "partial 16S ribosomal RNA". It matches the Rfam family "Bacterial small subunit ribosomal RNA", at positions 524 to 776 of the family's 1533-position model. The record is from RNAcentral.